GGUGAUGGUGGGUACCCAUAUGGUGCCGCUCAGCAACUCGGCAUGGGGGCUGAUGCAGGCAAAUCUGCCAGCAAAUAUGGUAACGGCCGAGGAAAUGGACGAUCUCAGCCAGCUGCGUAUGCUGGGCCCCUUGCAGCCAGCCAGGGUGGCUACGGAGGCAAAGACGGGAGCAAGUAUGGUUUGAACAACUACUAUGGCAACGGCUACAAAGGUUGAUUGAAGAGGCCUCGGCAUCAAGAAGUGAAUUUGUGUUGAUUCCCCCUUGUGUUCUAUGUGUGUGUUUGUGUCCAUCUGUUUUGUCGUGUGUCUUUCUGUGCAUCUAACUGAGUUGUGUGUGAUCUUUUUCGUUUGAUGUUCGUUCGUCUCUAUGUUGUGUUUUCCCUAAGUGUCCCCUGCCAAGUUGUCUCUGUAGCUUUGCUGAAUUUGACAUGAAGUUUUGCUGUUUGAUGAUUUCUGCACAUGAAACACUAAACAGUUUUUUCACCCCAAA
Clupea harengus (Atlantic herring) is the source of this 490-nucleotide long non-coding RNA. NCBI's taxonomy places the organism in Eukaryota, Metazoa, Chordata, Actinopteri, Clupeiformes, Clupeidae. The record is from Ensembl.